AACGAACGCUGGCGGCGUGCUUAACACAUGCAAGUCGAACGCGAACGUCUUUUUCGGAAGACUAGUAGAGUGGCGCACGGGUGAGUAACGCGUAAGUAACCUACCCUCGCAUUCGGGAUAACCCACCGAAAGGUGUGCUAAUACCGGAUACGUCUAUUUUGAUAACUUUUUUAUAGAGAAAGGUGGCCUCUGAUUCAAGCUACUGUGCGGGGAGGGCUUGCGUACCAUUAGCUAGUUGGUAGGGUAACGGCCUACCAAGGCAACGAUGGUUAGCGGGUCUGAGAGGAUGAUCCGCCACACUGGAACUGGAACACGGACCAGACUCCUACGGGAGGCAGCAGUGAGGAAUAUUGCGCAAUGGGGGCAACCCUGACGCAGCGACGCCGCGUGGAUGAUGAAGGCCUUCGGGUUGUAAAUCCUGUCAGAUGGGAAGAAGUGC
Molecule: ribosomal RNA, 439 nt
Filed under: uncultured bacterium
Lineage: Bacteria
Description: bacterial SSU rRNA
Rfam family: Bacterial small subunit ribosomal RNA
Source: RNAcentral